UACGUAGGUGGCAAGCGUUGUCCGGAUUUAUUGGGUUUAAAGGGUGCGUAGGCGGCCCUGUAAGUCAGUGCUGAAAUAUCCCAGCUUAACUGGGAGGGUGGCAUUGAUACUGCGGGGCUGGAGUACAGAUGAGGUAGGCGGAAUUGACGGUGUAGCGGUGAAAUGCUUAGAUAUCGUCAAGAACACCUAUAGCGAAGGCAGCUUACUAGGCUGUAACUGACGCUGAGGCACGAAAGUGUGGGGAUCAAACAGG
Molecule: ribosomal RNA, 253 nt
Filed under: uncultured bacterium
Lineage: Bacteria
Description: partial 16S ribosomal RNA
Rfam family: Bacterial small subunit ribosomal RNA
Source: RNAcentral